This 3830-nucleotide long non-coding RNA is filed under the name Homo sapiens (human). RNAcentral's name for it is "LHRI_LNC1536.2". The record is from RNAcentral. Lineage: Eukaryota; Metazoa; Chordata; Mammalia; Primates; Hominidae.
CGGCGGCGCCCGCCCGCGCCUCCAUCCGGGUCCUGGCGCGGUGCUCUCCCGGCAGCGACGGGCGCGAGGGCCGGGGCAUUCCCACGGCCGCGACGGCCCUCUCCGCGAGCGCGAGAAACAACGUCUCACUAUGUUGCCCAGGCUGGUCUCCAACUCCUGAGCUCAAGUGAUCCUUCUUCCUCAGCCUCCCAAAGUGCUAAGAUUACAGGUGUGAGCCACCGGGUUCCUGGCCGAAUCAGGUGAUUUCUUAGGCCCUUUCUAAAUACAAGGUUUAAGUGUUUUGAGGCAGCCGACAGCUAUACCUUUAAGUCUCUUGCUUCUCUAAGAAUAAGACAUUUUGGAUCAUUUGUUCUACCAUAACGUAAUGAAUACAAGUUGGGAGCAUUUUGCUCUUCUGUUAAGCACAGUUGGCCUUCCUGUCCAAGGAUUUUUGCAUCCUUGAAUUCAACUAACCUCAAAUGGAAAAUAUUUGGGGGAAAAAAAGUAUGUACAACAAAAAUAAUAUGAUCAAAAAUAAUACAGUAUAACGACUAUUUACAUAACUUUUACAUUGUAUUAGGUAUUGUAAGUAAUCUAUGUAGGAGGAUGUGUGUAGGUUACAUGCAAAUAUGACACCACAUUUUAUAAGGGACUUGAGCAUCUGAGGAUUUUCCUCUGGGAGAAGGAGGUAUCCUGGAGGCAAUCCCCUGAGGAUACUUUUCUACUUUGUGUGAAUUUUUCAUUAACAGGAAGUUACAGUACUUUUCUGGUCACCUGAGAAACCCACCCCAUAUUUUUAUUAGCCAAAUAUAUAAUUCUCGAAUGCUUAGAAUUCAUUUCUUAAUGAUUUCACUGUUGUGCAGUAUAGACUGUGAAUUGCCUACUAAGGAUACAGUUAAUUAUAGUAAACUGUGGAAUCUAGAUUAAAUAAUUACACCCUACUUUUUUUCUUGGCUUGUGGAUGUGUAGACUACAUAGUGGUUUUUUCAACCCAGGAACAUAACAGUAUAAUGGAGGAUAGGAAGGCAGAAGAUGUUUAAAGGGUUGAGAAAUAAUGGUAUAUGUAUAAUGGUCAGUAAGCAGAACAAGCCAGCCAAGUUGGAUAUUCUUCAAGACUAUCUUAAGUGUCUGCUAUGUGUCUAAGUGAAAGGAAAUAAGCAAUAGUCCUUUUGGGAAACCUGACCUAGUACUUAGCUAUUUCAGACUUAAUGUGAUGUUUGAUAGAGUAGGAAAUAAGAUCUUAAAUUAGAAUUAGGUUAAAUUGCUUUAGAGAAACUUAUUUAUAAAUGUAAAGAAUUUAUUAUCUCAUGUGUUGCACAUGCUCUAUCGAAGGGAGCAAAAUACUAUUGGAGAGUUUGCUUAUUAAUGUAAUACUCAGCCUGCAUCAUUGUCGGAUAAUUUUGUUGAUAAUUCAACUAUUUGAGAUUGAAAGAAAUCUGUUAAAGUAGCCAGUGUUGUAAUUUUGAUCUGUGUUUGAUUACAGCGUAUGAAACAAAAAUGAGACUGGAGGAAAUAGUUUACUUGUGAACUUUUUGAGCUACUUUGUUUUAGGAGUAUUUAAAUUAAUGUAAAAGUGUAGGGAAAUGUCUUAGCUCAGAAAAUUUAAACUUACUAGAUAUUAAGUGCUUAAAAGGUAGAGUAUGCUUGCAUUUCAACUAAAGUUUAGAGUGUUUUAGGAAAUUAGAGGCUAUUUUAAAAAAUAUUUUGAAGUUAGGAGUGUGUUCCUAAGUGUUUUCACCAUAAGAAAAUAAGUCUGUGGGGAUAGUACAUAUGUUAAUUAACUUGAUUUAGCUAUAAUAUAAACCUAUUUUAUGUACACCAUAAAAAUAACAAUUUUUAUGUCAAUUUGAAACAAAUUCAUUACAAAAAUGAAAUUAGGAAUGUGAAUGUUAAUAAGUUAUGAAAACUUACUUGAUGUAAAUGUAGAUAUAGACAAGUCUAUAACUAAUAGAUUUGCCUGCUUUGUAGCAUGCUUUAAAUUGAUAAUAUUUUUAACUAUCACAAGUAUAUCUGGAAAGGUAAAAUUCCUGUUAGGAUAGUUUGUCAAAUUAAUUUAUUAAGUACAGUUGCCAUUUGUUGAGUUAAUUUCUCAGUCAUUCAAUAUCUUUGCAUGUAUCCCAGUCCUGACAGCAACCCCAUGAGGUGUGGCUGUUACAGUUCCCCCAAAUGGCGAUGAGAGAACACAGCCACUAAGUAGCUGCUUGGCUGCUUGACCCUGAAACCAUUGCCCUUAACCAUUUUCCUGUACUGGUAUGCUGAGCUGAAUGAAAUGAAGAUACAUUUUGUGUAAGUUGAAUUUUGACUUUUAGUUGCCAUAAAUUAAUUAAAUAAUUUAUUAUUGUAUAUAUUUUUUUGAGACAGUUUUGCUCUUCUUGCCCAGGCUGGAGUGUAAUGGUGCGAUCUUGGUCUACUGCAACCUCUGCCUCCUGGGUUCAAGCGAUUCUCCUACCUCAGCCUCCUGAGUAGCUGGGAUUACAGGUGCCUACCACCAUGCCUGGCAAAUUUUUGUAUUUUUAGUAGAGAUGGGUUUUCACCAUGUUGGCCAGGCUGGUCCCAAACUCCUGACCUCAGGUGAUCCACUCGCCUGGGCCUCUCAAAGUGCUGGGAUUAUAGGUGUGAGCCACUGUGCCUGGCCAGUUGCCGUAAUAUAUAUAUAUUUUUUUUGAGACCGCAUCUUGCUCUGUUGCCCAGGCUGGAGUGCGGUGGCAUGAUCUCGGCUCCAUGCAACCUCCACCUUCCAGGUUCAAGCGAUUCUUCUGCCUCAGCCUCCCGAGUAGCUAGGACUACAGGCGCAUGCCACCAUGCCUGGCUGAUUUUUUUAUUUUUAGUAGAGAGGGGGUUUCACCAUAUUGGCCAGGCUGGUUUCGAACUCCUGACCUCAUGAUUUGCCCUCCUGGGCCUCCCAAAGUGCUGGGAUUACAGGCAUGAGCCACUGUGCCUGGCCAUUUGCCAUAACUUUUAAUGAGAGGGUAGUUCCAGCUACAGAUUGAGGUAGUAUGUGAAUAAGGAUAGAAAGUGGAUAUAAAAGUAUUUUUGUUACUUUUUAAGAAAGAAUUAUCAGAAGGCUCAAAUUCUGAUAAUUUUAGCUAAUAGUAUUCUACCUAAGAAGUAAACAAAGGCCCAGAAAUUAGAUGAUAUGUCCAAGGACAUAGUAAAUGGGGAGCCAGCAUUAACUGUAGACAGAAAAACUUCAAGUCCUAAAUGUAUACUAGCUAUCAACCCACUCUUUCCCAGUACGCAAGCAUUACAUAGUUGUGAUUAGUUAGUUAGGGCUUUUAAUUAACUUCCAAAUGAAUAUUUCCAUGGGUUCUUGUAAUCCAUAAAUUCAUGGAUUAUGUUCAGUGUUUAUGAGAGCUGGCCCUAACUGAACAUUGCUCGGCUGUUUGGUUUUAGUUUCCACCAUUUGCUGUAAUCAGUGUUUUCUAAACUGCAGGCUGGGAACCAUUAGAUUAUAAAAUCAGUUCAUGUAUAUAAUAAAAUAACAUAUUAGAGUAAGUAUUGAUUUGUGAACAAUAUUAUUUAUUGGAUUACUUAUAUACAUAUACUUUUCAAAAAAUUGAGGGUCAUGUUAAUAGCACUUGGUAUGUAAAUUACCAGAAUGCUUUCUAGCAAUAUGGUAUUUAUUUACAUAGCUGGAUUGAGAAAGAAUAAUACAAAGUAAGCAUGUGACACCAAGGUUGGAAAAAAAAUGUGUUUUUGAAUGUUUGAUGAGGAUUCAAACAUGUUUUAAAUGAGAAAAUCGGUAGGAGGUUGAGGAUUGUAGUAGAAGUACCAGAUGCUUUUUCUUUUAGCUGUUUUUUUUCGUUGCUGUUGUUUGGUUGGUUUUGGUUUUGGUUUUUUUUUUUUUUUUU